GUGGGGAAUAUUGGACAAUGGGCGAAAGCCUGAUCCAGCCAUGCCGCGUGUGUGAAGAAGGUCUUCGGAUUGUAAAGCACUUUAAGUUGGGAGGAAGGGCAGUAAGUUAAUACCUUGCUGUUUUGACGUUACCAACAGAAUAAGCACCGGCUAACUUCGUGCCAGCAGCCGCGGUAAUACGAAGGGUGCAAGCGUUAAUCGGAAUUACUGGGCGUAAAGCGCGCGUAGGUGGUUUGGUAAGAUGGAUGUGAAAUCCCCGGGCUCAACCUGGGAACUGCAUCCAUAACUGCCUGACUAGAGUACGGUAGAGGGUGGUGGAAUUUCCUGUGUAGCGGUGAAAUGCGUAGAUAUAGGAAGGAACACCAGUGGCGAAGGCGACCACCUGGACUGAUACUGACACUGAGGUGCGAAAGCGUGGGGAGCAAACAGGAUUAGAAACCCCAGUAGUCC
This 450-nucleotide ribosomal RNA is filed under the name uncultured Pseudomonadaceae bacterium. RNAcentral describes it as "bacterial SSU rRNA". It matches the Rfam family "Bacterial small subunit ribosomal RNA", at positions 354 to 796 of the family's 1533-position model. The record is from RNAcentral. Lineage: Bacteria; Pseudomonadati; Pseudomonadota; Gammaproteobacteria; Pseudomonadales; Pseudomonadaceae.